Molecule: ribosomal RNA, 106 nt
Filed under: uncultured bacterium
Lineage: Bacteria
Description: partial 16S ribosomal RNA
Rfam family: Bacterial small subunit ribosomal RNA
Source: RNAcentral
CCUUGUACACACCGCCCGUCACACCAUGGGAGUUGGUUCGGCCUUAAGACGGUGCGCUAACCCGCAAGGGGAGCAGCCGGCCACGGCCGGGUCAGCGACUGGGGUG